GCAAGAAUUCAAGCCUGCUGGCCUUGCUUGAGCUAGACACUGCUAUUGCAUGGGAUGCAGUGACCUAUGAGGAUGUGCAUGUGAACUUCACUCAUGAAGAGUGGGCUUUGCUGGAUCCUUCCCAGAAGAGUCUCUACAAAGAUGUGAUGCUGGAAACCUGCUGGAACCUCACUUGUAUUGGUUACAAAUGGGAAGACCACAAUAUUGAAGAACAUUAUCAAAUUUCUACAAGACGUGUAAGGU
Molecule: long non-coding RNA, 243 nt
Organism: Onychomys torridus (southern grasshopper mouse)
Lineage: Eukaryota; Metazoa; Chordata; Mammalia; Rodentia; Cricetidae
Exons: 3
Source: RefSeq, a predicted model, not a curated record